AUAUACACAUAUACAAAAACCAUAGGGGGACCUCACUCAAAGUUCUAAACUUAAACCGCUUUUUUAAAUAAAAUCCAUCAUAAAACAGGUCGACAUUUCAGCUCCAAUACGGAGCUUUCAUUAGGAUAACAAACGUAUUCCAAGUGUAUAAAUCAACCAUAUAUAGAUUCAUUUAUUUGGGACAAAAAGCAGCAAAGACUGGCAAGGAACAGGCUAUACAGACCCAUAAUUGGUUGAGGAUUAGGGCUGCCGAACCUAAACUGGGUCUGACCUUCCCAUGUUUUAUGUGUGGUUGAAUAAACCAAGUGCCCUGUUAUCCUUGCAUCUCUCUCCAUUUGGGAUAAGAUACAAUAUAAAUUCCAACUGGCCUCCGAUCCCUCUCCUCUUGCCCUAGUCCUUAGGCAGAGAGAGUGUCCCCAGGGAAUGUGCCCAUGGGAUUUCAAGCAUUUAGAGGAAAGUUGGUAUACAACGCUACAUACACUUCUGGAAUCAGGCAUCUGACAUUAGUUUUUCAUAGUCCCUUUGAUUAAGACCCCUUAUUUUUUUAUUCUCAUAUGGUCAUCAGAAUACUUCCUGAAGAAGGCAAAGAAAUUGUUUAACAAAAUACCAUUAACAACAAGGAGGGCUUUAGCAGUAUAUUGAUUAGGAGUUUUUGGCCCUUUCAAUCAGAGAGGUCAGAGCAACAAUUUAUGAAAAUCACUUCAUGGAUCUGCUGAUUGCCACAACACUCUACCCUCUUUAUAUAAAGUUUGGGAUCCUUGGCAGGAUUUCACAUCCUCAACAGAGAUUGUGUGGACACAUUAGGCGCCCCCACACUUCCUUUUUUCCCCCCUCUUCUCUCCCUAUAAUGUUUGUGAUUACGUGAUUAUUUGCCUUAUGUUUUGUGUCACAUGGUUUAAUGUGUUCUAUAACAAGUGAAACAUGUUUUAUGUGAUGACAAUACCUUAUUAAAACAUUCUUGAUUGUCUCUAAAAAUAAAGAAUUUAAAUGUAUAUUGGUCACUCGUUACUACUAAUCAAAUUCACAGCCCAAUUUAAAACACAUUUUUCAUGCAAAGUUGAAUGUUCUCUGUAUGAAAAAUUGGCCUCAUUUUUAGAUUGAGUCUCUUUACUUUUCACUAUCUAUGGUAAAUGCUAUCAUGGGUUUUCUUAAACAACACUACAAAAAA
Pelobates cultripes (western spadefoot toad) is the source of this 1168-nucleotide non-coding RNA. The record is from the annotation of a GenBank genome assembly. NCBI's taxonomy places the organism in Eukaryota, Metazoa, Chordata, Amphibia, Anura, Pelobatidae.